GACGAACGCUGGCGGCGUGCCUAAUACAUGCAAGUCGAACGCUUCUUUUUCCACCGGAGCUUGCUCCACCGGAAAAAGAGGAGUGGCGAACGGGUGAGUAACACGUGGGUAACCUGCCCAUCAGAAGGGGAUAACACUUGGAAACAGGUGCUAAUACCGUAUAACAAUCGAAACCGCAUGGUUUUGAUUUGAAAGGCGCUUUCGGGUGUCGCUGAUGGAUGGACCCGCGGUGCAUUAGCUAGUUGGUGAGGUAACGGCUCACCAAGGCGACGAUGCAUAGCCGACCUGAGAGGGUGAUCGGCCACAUUGGGACUGAGACACGGCCCAAACUCCUACGGGAGGCAGCAGUAGGGAAUCUUCGGCAAUGGACGAAAGUCUGACCGAGCAACGCCGCGUGAGUGAAGAAGGUUUUCGGAUCGUA
This 421-nucleotide ribosomal RNA is filed under the name Enterococcus hirae. RNAcentral describes it as "bacterial SSU rRNA". It matches the Rfam family "Bacterial small subunit ribosomal RNA", at positions 28 to 427 of the family's 1533-position model. Lineage: Bacteria; Bacillati; Bacillota; Bacilli; Lactobacillales; Enterococcaceae. The record is from RNAcentral.